Stomoxys calcitrans (stable fly) is the source of this 2197-nucleotide long non-coding RNA. RefSeq lists it as uncharacterized. NCBI's taxonomy places the organism in Eukaryota, Metazoa, Arthropoda, Insecta, Diptera, Muscidae. The transcript is spliced from 3 exons. The record is from RefSeq and is a predicted model, not a curated record.
GUUGUAGUGGUUUUCUAUCGACAUCGUCACCGUUUUAAAUGCUGUAAACUUUUUUGACGUUUCGUUUAUUCAUCAAUUUCUUGGUUUGUUUAAGGGGCGUGUACUUAAGCGGGUAAUUUUUUGUGUUGUUUGUGCAAAAAGGGUGAUAACAUAAUAUAAUUUUAAAAAAGAACUUUUAAAAUUAGCUAAAUCUAUUACAAAAGGCUCGUAAAAAAUCAAAAUGUGGUCUAUAAAAAUAGAUGUGUGGAAGUCAACAAUGAAAUACGAGUGCAACAGCGAAAACUAUACUGUGGAAAAUGUUUUGUGGAAGAUGUUGUCGAAAGUGGUGCUGUUUGGUAGAAACGUCUCCUCCAAAAAUAUGUUUGGAGAAUUUGUUUUUUAUAUUGAAGGAAGAAGGCCUAGACUGUCCACUUACUAGAAAAACAUUUUUGGACAGAACAACACAACUUUUAAUUAAAAACGUCUCGCCUGGAAGUUAUUGAUGGAAUUCCACUGCUCAAGAGCUCGUGUAUCCAGUUGUGGCCCAUUCUUUGCAGAGUUGUAAACGUGCAAGAGAAAAUAAAACCGUUUGUCGUUGGAAUAUAUUUGGGGACAAAAAAGAUUUGAAAGAUUUCAUUGAAGACAAUUAUGUUGAGAAAUCAGCUUGUGUUAAAUGAAAAAAAAAAAUAUAUAUACAAUUUAGGUUACGUUGCUUAUCGUGUGAUGCACCAGCAAAAGCUUUUGUCUGUGACGUUCCUGUGCAUACAUCAGUAAAUAGUUGUACAAAGUGUACCGAAAUUGAAAAAAAAACAAUUAAAGAAAUACAAAAACCACCACACACAAAUGUUUAAAAUCAAGAAAAGUGCCUUUGAAGAAAUAGGAUUUGGCAUUAUAUGACAAACUCCAUUAGAUAGCAUGCCCUAUCGACCUUGGAGUCACGAGAAAAAUGCUAAUCAGGAUAGUCCAUAAUAAAACAGAGAAGAACACAUCAAACAAAAUAUUUCUAAGAUAUCUUCUGAACUGAAGCCAAACCAAAAAUGUAUUCCAAAGGAGUUUCCGAGAAAACACAGGCCUUAGAAGAUUUACAGCACUGGAAAGCUGAUUUUCACCAGUUUCUUGGUUAUACAUGCAUAGUUGCUCUUUCAAUGUCCGCACUCUGCUUUAUUUGGCUUCUUGUGCAGAAGCAUAUGGUCCUCGGAUUUCUUUUCUGCAUACUGCAUUGAAAACAAAUUGCAGAUUUUAAAAAGACAUUUUCGAAAACCAUCGCCGAUUCUUCAACAAAUCGUUUAAAAGGAACGCCCAGUUCGUGCAAAGUAAAACGAAAGGGCAUAAAUAAGAAAGGGGUGUAAUUGUUGGAGCUUUUGUAAACUAUUGGUAUAUUUCCUGCAAGGGACCGAAUAAUAUUUGUUGCGUGAAAUCAUGCAUUCCACUACAAAUUGAAAAUGUAAUAAAAAAGAAGACGCUGUUUACAUUGAAGGACGUCGAUAGCUGAUUCUAGAGAGUUUUUACAAAGAAUGAAUUCUUGUGAGCUUGGAUUUUUUUGAAACUAAUCUUGCUUUCGGAAUUUGUAAUAAUACCUAUUUUACACUCCAGCCUUCCUGAAAACUACUAACUCAAUUAUAAUUAUGUCGACAUCUUAAAAAAUUUUAAACAUAUCGACAAACCAGGUCCAUCUAGUCUUGCAAAAAAAAUUAAGUAUUUUCAUACCCAAGCUAAUCCGAGUUGUUCUAAUUGCCAAGACGUUGCAAAAAAUGGAUACGGUUCUAGAGAUUUUGGCUGAGCACAAAGUUUUGUUUGAUCGUCUCGUUUCCCAAAAUGUAUUUUUUUAUGAGAUAAUGUAAAUUUUUUUCCAAUUAAUUCAGAGAAAAAACUGAAAGAACUUGAUAGUAUUCUUGGAACAAAAGCGGAGAAUUUUUAAGUAAAUAUUAAAUGGUUAUUAUGAAAGAUCCGACGAAUGAAAAAUCAACAUUUAAUGAAUCGCCAGACAAAACGUUAAGAAAAGCCUUUCAACAUCAAAAGAAACUAUUUUUAAGCAGAAUAGCCGAAAUAUAAUGGCAAAGGACGAAAAGAAAAUGUGCCAGAACAAAAAUUUUUUAACAUUCAAAAUUAACCUGAUUAUUAAUUCAUAUUCAUUUAUCACAAUUUUUAAAUUGUUUAUAUGUUGCCUAUAGAAACGAAAAGACUAAUCUAUUGUUUAAAAAGUAUUAUCUUAGAACAA